UACAGAGGUGGCGAGCGUUGUUCGGAUUAACUGGGCGUAAAGCGUGCGUAGGUGGUUUCGUAUGUCGGAUGUGAAAGCCCUCGGCUUAACCGUGGAAUUGCAUUCGAAACUGCGGAACUUGAGUGCAGGAGGGGAGAGCGGAAUUCUUGGUGUAGCGGUGAAAUGCGUUGAUAUCAAGAAGAACACCGGUGGCGAAGGCGGCUCUCUGGAAUGUAACUGACACUGAGGCACGAAAGCUGGGGGAGCAAACAGGAUUAGAUACCCUGGUAGUCCCAGCUGUAAACGGUGCGCACUUGGUGUGGGGGGAAUUGACCCCCUCCGUGCCGGAGCUAACGCGUUAAGUGCGCCGCCUGGGGAGUACGGCCGCAAGGCUAAA
RNAcentral lists this ribosomal RNA (376 nucleotides) under uncultured bacterium. Its description in RNAcentral is "bacterial SSU rRNA". It matches the Rfam family "Bacterial small subunit ribosomal RNA", at positions 524 to 898 of the family's 1533-position model. The record is from RNAcentral.